GGAGAGUUUGAAUCUCUCGGUGUUGGGCAGAUAUACGAUCUUCGAGGAGGAUUGCUUGGUGAGCCCUGGAAGAACCGCCGACGGAAGAUGAGUGAGAAAGACGAUGAUGGGCUCGACGAUCAUCAGGCGGGCUUCGGCUCAACGGAACUUCGCGUCGUUUCAAGGCAUUCGGCUGAUGGCUUCGUCCGGACAUGCCUGUGGAUAGUGCGUU
This 211-nucleotide unclassified non-coding RNA is filed under the name Hevea brasiliensis (rubber tree). Lineage: Eukaryota; Viridiplantae; Streptophyta; Magnoliopsida; Malpighiales; Euphorbiaceae. The record is from RNAcentral.